GUGAGUGUGCCCGAAAGGGAACCUAGACACAGGUGCUGCAUGGCUGUCGUCAGCUCGUGUCGUGAGAUGUUGGGUUAAGUCCCGCAACGAGCGCAACCCUUGCCAUUAGUUGCUACAUUUAGUUGGGCACUCUAAUGGGACCGCCGGUGACAAACCGGAGGAAGGUGGGGAUGACGUCAAGUCCUCAUGGCCCUUAUGGGUAGGGCUUCACACGUAAUACAAUGGUCGGUACAGAGGGCAGCCAACCCGCGAGGGGGAGCUAAUCCCAGAAAGCCGAUCGUAGUCCGGAUUGUAGUCUGCAACUCGACUGCAUGAAGCCGGAAUCGCUAGUAAU
This 334-nucleotide ribosomal RNA is filed under the name uncultured bacterium. Its description in RNAcentral is "bacterial SSU rRNA". It matches the Rfam family "Bacterial small subunit ribosomal RNA", at positions 1008 to 1342 of the family's 1533-position model. The record is from RNAcentral.